AGUGAACGCUGGCGGCGUGCUUAACACAUGCAAGUCGAACGAGAACGGAACAUAGCUUGCUUUGUUUGUCAGCUAAGUGGCGAACGGGUGAGUAAUGUAUAGCUAAUGUGCCCCUUGGAGGGGGAUAACAGUUGGAAACGACUGCUAAUACCCCAUACUCCUUCUAUCUUAAUGAUAGUUGGGAAAUGUUUUUUCGCCAAGGGAUCGGGCUAUAUGGUAUCAGUUAGUUGGUGAGGUAAUGGCUCACCAAAACAAUGACGCCUAGCUGGUCUGAGAGGAUGGUCACCCACACUGGAACUGAGACACGGUCCACACUCCUACGGGAGGCAGCAGUGGGGAAUAUUGCACAAUGGGGGAAACCCUGAUGCACCACCGCCGCGUGGAGGAUGACGCAUUUCGGUGUGUACACUCCUUUUAUAUAGGAAGAUAAUGACGGUACUAUAUGAAUAAGCACCGGCUAACUCCGUGCCAGCAGCCGCGGUAAUACGGAGGGUGCAAUCGUUACUCGGAAUCACUGGGCGUAAAGCGCGCGCAGGCGGUUUGAU
Molecule: ribosomal RNA, 545 nt
Filed under: uncultured bacterium
Lineage: Bacteria
Description: bacterial SSU rRNA
Rfam family: Bacterial small subunit ribosomal RNA
Source: RNAcentral